CAGAAAAUAGUUUAGUAUAGAAUACCAGCUUUGGGAGUUGGCGGCGGAGGUUUGACUCCUCUUUUUCUGA
This 70-nucleotide transfer RNA is filed under the name Strix varia varia. Its description in RNAcentral is "tRNA-Pro". It matches the Rfam family "tRNA". Rfam says of the family: Transfer RNA (tRNA) molecules are approximately 80 nucleotides in length. Their secondary structure includes four short double-helical elements and three loops (D, anti-codon, and T loops). Further hydrogen bonds mediate the characteristic L-shaped molecular structure. tRNAs have two regions of fundamental functional importance: the anti-codon, which is responsible for specific mRNA codon recognition, and the 3' end, to which the tRNAs corresponding amino acid is attached (by aminoacyl-tRNA synthetases). tRNAs cope with the degeneracy of the genetic code in two manners: having more than one tRNA (with a specific anti-codon) for a particular amino acid; and 'wobble' base-pairing, i.e. permitting non-standard base-pairing at the 3rd anti-codon position. The record is from RNAcentral. Lineage: Eukaryota; Metazoa; Chordata; Aves; Strigiformes; Strigidae.